This 287-nucleotide long non-coding RNA is filed under the name Elaeis guineensis (African oil palm). RNAcentral describes it as "long non-coding RNA (EGUI_LNC009302)". The record is from RNAcentral. Lineage: Eukaryota; Viridiplantae; Streptophyta; Magnoliopsida; Arecales; Arecaceae.
AACCUCGAUAAGGAGGAGAGAGAGAUUCCUCCAACAAUGAAGGCUAGAAUGUAACCCACCGGUCUACAUAGCUAGGCCUAAUAAACAUAGAUUUUGACUAGCAGCCUACGGACUCAACCUCCAAAUAAAAGAGGUAGGAAUAUAUCUGGUAUCAUCAAGAAUAUGUGGGUUUGGCAAGACUAACAAUAGAUUGGUGAGAGAGAGAGAAAUAGGGGAUUUGGGAGCUAGAGUGUCUUGGCUUGAUGGUGGGGAGUGACAAGGAAGCUGGAUGCUUGGGGAUAGUGGAG